Limulus polyphemus (Atlantic horseshoe crab) is the source of this 401-nucleotide long non-coding RNA. RefSeq lists it as uncharacterized. NCBI's taxonomy places the organism in Eukaryota, Metazoa, Arthropoda, Merostomata, Xiphosura, Limulidae. The record is from RefSeq and is a predicted model, not a curated record. The transcript has 2 exons.
CUUUGUCUCUUCCUUAAUAUAGGGGGAAGUAGCUUAUGUACAAGUAAAAGAAGAUGGUGGAGGGCGAUCUCGUUCACGAAGCAGAAGUUACUCGCCAAGACGCACUAGAGGUUCUCCUACGUAUUCACCUGCUCGGCGCUCAAGAUCACGAUCUCGGUCACAUUCAAGGUCUCGAUCCAUGUCUAGGUCAAGAUCACGCUCCAAUUAAUGAGAAAAACAAUACAUGGGAAGGAUCCCUAUGGAUAGCCAGAAUCCUUGGCUGUACUGUAAGGAAUAAAGUUGAUUGUAUAAUGGAGUUACACCUGUAACAUGGAUGUAGCUGGGAACAGAAAGUCUACAGUUUUCUGUUGUGGUCCUUGGAUGUACUAUAAAGAAUAAAAUGGAUUUUUUAAGGAACCUAA